CGUCUAGGCGGGUCGGUAAGUCGGUUGUGAAAUCCCUCGGCUCACCCGAGGAAGUGCACCCGAUACUGCCGGUCUUGAGGGCAAGGAGGGGAGAGUGGAACUCCUGGUGGAGCGGUGAAAUGCGUAGAUAUCAGGAGGAACGCCGGUGGCGAAAGCGACUCUCUGGCUUGUUCCUGACGCUGAAGCGCGAAAGCUAGGGGAGCGAAC
This 207-nucleotide ribosomal RNA is filed under the name uncultured bacterium. RNAcentral describes it as "partial 16S ribosomal RNA". It matches the Rfam family "Bacterial small subunit ribosomal RNA", at positions 568 to 773 of the family's 1533-position model. The record is from RNAcentral.